RNAcentral lists this ribosomal RNA (468 nucleotides) under uncultured bacterium. RNAcentral's name for it is "partial 16S ribosomal RNA". It matches the Rfam family "Bacterial small subunit ribosomal RNA", at positions 28 to 507 of the family's 1533-position model. The record is from RNAcentral.
GACGAACGCUGGCGGCGUGCUUAACACAUGCCAGUCGAACGGAAAGGCCCUGCUUUUGUGGGGUGCUCGAGUGGCGAACGGGUGAGUAACACGUGAGUAACCUGCCCUUGACUUUGGGAUAACUUCAGGAAACUGGGGCUAAUAACGGAUAGGAGCUCCUGCUGCAUGGUGGGGGUUGGAAAGUUUCGGCGGGUGGGGAUGGACUCGCGGGUUAUCAGCUUGUUGGUGGGGUAGUGGCUUACCAAGGCUUUGACGGGUAGCCGGCCUGAGAGGGUGACCGGCCACAUUGGGACUGAGAUACGGCCCAGACUCCUACGGGAGGCAGCAGUGGGGAAUAUUGCACAAUGGGCGGAAGCCUGAUGCAGCAACGCCGCGUGCGGGAUGACGGCCUUCGGGUUGUAAACCGCUUUCGCCUGUGACGAAGCGUGAGUGACGGUAAUGGGUAAAGAAGCACCGGCUAACUACGUG